RNAcentral lists this ribosomal RNA (370 nucleotides) under uncultured bacterium. Its description in RNAcentral is "bacterial SSU rRNA". It matches the Rfam family "Bacterial small subunit ribosomal RNA", at positions 525 to 896 of the family's 1533-position model. The record is from RNAcentral.
ACGGAGGGUGCAAGCGUUAUCCGGAUUCACUGGGUUUAAAGGGUGCGUAGGUGGGCAGGUAAGUCAGUGGUGAAAUCUCUGGGCUUAACCCGGAAACUGCCAUUGAUACUAUCUGUCUUGAAUUCUCUGGAGGUAAGCGGAAUAUGUCAUGUAGCGGUGAAAUGCUUAGAUAUGACAUAGAACACCCAUUGCGAAGGCAGCUUACUACGGAGUUAUUGACACUGAGGCACGAAAGCGUGGGGAUCAAACAGGAUUAGAUACCCUGGUAGUCCACGCCCUAAACGAUGAUUACUCGACAUUAGCGAUAUUACAGUUAGUGUCUAAGCGAAAGCAUUAAGUAAUCCACCUGGGAAGUACGACCGCAAGGUUG